Molecule: ribosomal RNA, 580 nt
Filed under: uncultured Pseudonocardia sp.
Lineage: Bacteria; Bacillati; Actinomycetota; Actinomycetes; Pseudonocardiales; Pseudonocardiaceae
Description: bacterial SSU rRNA
Rfam family: Bacterial small subunit ribosomal RNA
Source: RNAcentral
GUAGUCCACGCCGUAAACGGUGGGCGCUAGGUGUGGGGGCCAUUCCACGGUCUCUGUGCCGCAGCUAACGCAUUAAGCGCCCCGCCUGGGGAGUACGGCCGCAAGGCUAAAACUCAAAGGAAUUGACGGGGGCCCGCACAAGCGGCGGAGCAUGUGGAUUAAUUCGAUGCAACGCGAAGAACCUUACCUGGGUUUGACAUGCACCAGACAUCCCUAGAGAUAGGGCUUCCCUUGUGGUUGGUGUGCAGGUGGUGCAUGGUUGUCGUCAGCUCGUGUCGUGAGAUGUUGGGUUAAGUCCCGCAACGAGCGCAACCCUUGUUCCAUGUUGCCAGCGGGUAAUGCCGGGGACUCAUGGGAGACUGCCGGGGUCAACUCGGAGGAAGGUGGGGAUGACGUCAAAUCAUCAUGCCCCUUAUGUCCAGGGCUUCACACAUGCUACAAUGGCCAGUACAGAGGGCUGCGAGACCGUGAGGUGGAGCGAAUCUCUUAAAGCUGGUCUCAGUUCGGAUUGGGGUCUGCAACUCGACCCCAUGAAGUUGGAGUCGCUAGUAAUCGCAGAUCAGCAACGCUGCGGUGAAUA